AGCGACCACCCGUCUCAUCUCGGAAGAAGCACUGGUGAAACGGGAACUUCU
Molecule: non-coding RNA, 51 nt
Organism: Oesophagostomum dentatum (nodular worm)
Lineage: Eukaryota; Metazoa; Nematoda; Chromadorea; Rhabditida; Strongylidae
Source: Rfam